CCGCUGCUGAGGAGGUUGCCGGAGAAGCCCCCUAUGCCGUGGAUGCACAUGACACCGACACAGCCGCCCUGGGAGCACCUCCCGCGUAGUUUCCUCCCUUUUUCUUUUUUAUUUUCCUGCAAGUGGCGCGUGGCGCCUUAGAACUUUUUUAUGUUAGCUUUCCCUUAUCAUCACCAGUGUUAUUUGUCAACUUGUUUUGGUCAAGCUUCAAUAUAUCCAAUGUCACUU
Molecule: long non-coding RNA, 228 nt
Filed under: Brachypodium distachyon (stiff brome)
Lineage: Eukaryota; Viridiplantae; Streptophyta; Magnoliopsida; Poales; Poaceae
Description: long non-coding RNA (BDIS_LNC000577)
Source: RNAcentral